Molecule: transfer RNA, 73 nt
Filed under: Felis catus (domestic cat)
Lineage: Eukaryota; Metazoa; Chordata; Mammalia; Carnivora; Felidae
Rfam family: tRNA
About the family: Transfer RNA (tRNA) molecules are approximately 80 nucleotides in length.
Source: Rfam by way of RNAcentral
GCCCAGCUAGCUCAGUCGUAGAGCAUGCAACUCUUUGAUCUCAGGGUUGUGGGUUCAAGCCCCAUGUUGGGUG